GACGAACGCUGGCGGCGUGCCUAAUACAUGCAAGUAGAACGCUGAAGGAGGAGCUUGCUUCUCCGGAUGAGUUGCGAACGGGUGAGUAACGCGUAGGUAACCUGCCUUGUAGCGGGGGAUAACUAUUGGAAACGAUAGCUAAUACCGCAUAACAGUCGAUCUUGCAUGAUAUCUGCUUGAAAGUUGCAAUUUCAUCACUACCAGAUGGACCUGCUUUGUUUUUGCUAGUUGGUGAGGUAACGGCUCACCAAGGCGACGAUACAUAGCCGACCUGAGAGGGGGGUCGGCCACACUGGGACUGGGGAACGGCCCAAGCUCCUUCGGGAGGGCGCCGUAGGGAAUCUUCGGACAUGGGGGGAAGUCUGACCGCGCAAAGCCGGGUGAGUGAAGAAGGUUUUCGGGGCGUAAAGCUCUGUUGUAAGAGAAGAACGAGUGUGAGAGUAGAAAGUUCACACUGUGACGGUACCUUACCAGAAAGGGACGGCUAACUACGUG
Molecule: ribosomal RNA, 495 nt
Filed under: uncultured bacterium
Lineage: Bacteria
Description: partial 16S ribosomal RNA
Rfam family: Bacterial small subunit ribosomal RNA
Source: RNAcentral